Molecule: small RNA, 127 nt
Filed under: Marmota monax (woodchuck)
Lineage: Eukaryota; Metazoa; Chordata; Mammalia; Rodentia; Sciuridae
Source: RNAcentral
GCUGGGUGCGGUGGCACACACCUGUAAUCCCAGCAGGUCGGGAGGCUGAGGCAGGAGGAUCACGAGUUCAGAGCCAGCCUCAGGAACUUAGUGAGACCCUAAGCAACUCAGCGAGACCCUGUCUCUA